AUGAACGCUGGCGGCGUGCCUAAUACAUGCCAGUCGAGCGAACGGACGAGAAGCUUGCUUUUCUGAUGUUAGCGGCGGACGGGUGAGUAACACGUGGAUAACCUACCUAUAAGACUGGGAUAACUUCGGGAAACCGGAGCUAAUACCGGAUAAUAUUUUGAACCGCAUGGUUCAAAAGUGAAAGACGGUCUUGCUGUCACUUAUAGAUGGAUCCGCGCUGCAUUAGCUAGUUGGUAAGGUAACGGCUUACCAAGGCAACGAUGCAUAGCCGACCUGAGAGGGUGAUCGGCCACACUGGAACUGAGACACGGUCCAGACUCCUACGGGAGGCAGCAGUAGGGAAUCUUCCGCAAUGGGCGAAAGCCUGACGGAGCAACGCCGCGUGAGUGAUGAAGGUCUUCGGAUCGUAAAACUCUGUUAUUAGGGAAGAGCAUAUGUGUAAGUAACUGUGCACAUCUUGACGGUACCUAAUCAGAAAGCCACGGCUAACUACGUG
RNAcentral lists this ribosomal RNA (496 nucleotides) under uncultured bacterium. Its description in RNAcentral is "partial 16S ribosomal RNA". It matches the Rfam family "Bacterial small subunit ribosomal RNA", at positions 29 to 507 of the family's 1533-position model. The record is from RNAcentral.